Molecule: unclassified non-coding RNA, 319 nt
Filed under: uncultured fungus
Lineage: Eukaryota; Fungi
Description: partial contains small subunit ribosomal RNA, internal transcribed spacer 1, and 5.8S ribosomal RNA
Rfam family: Eukaryotic small subunit ribosomal RNA (bases 1-73)
Source: RNAcentral
GCAAACUUGGUCAUUUAGAGGAAGUAAAAGUCGUAACAAGGUUUCCGUAGGUGAACCUGCGGAAGGAUCAUUACUGAGUAAGGGUGUUUCACGCCCGACCUCCAACCCUUUGUCUACCUAACCUUAUGUUGCUUCGGCAGGCCCGCCUGUGGUGCUCCGGCACCGCUGGCCGCCGGGGGUCUCACGAUCCCGGGCCCGCGCCUGCCGAUGGCCCUCUCACCUAAUCUCGUGUCAAAACGUGAUGUCUGAGCAAACACAUAAUCAACACAAAACUUUCAACAACGGAUCUCUUGGUUCUGGCAUCGAUGAAGAACGCAGC